AACGCAUAUUGCGGUUGCGCUCCGGCGCAACCAUGUCUGCCUCAGCGUCCGUGUGAACCCUCACCGACCCCAACACCCUUGGCGGCCGGUGGUCCUGGCCUCCCGAGUCGGCCCGACCGACUCGGCUGGCUGAAAUGUAGAGGGCGUCGCCCGGGCCCCGACUGUGGGCCUCGGUUUGGUAGGUAGUCGUACUACUCCAGCCGAGCGCCUGGCGCCUCGGUGCGAGCCCCGCGGGAAACCCACACCACGACCUGGACCUGAGCUCAGGCAAGGCUACCCGCUGAACUUAA
This 290-nucleotide unclassified non-coding RNA is filed under the name Exobasidium sp. RNAcentral describes it as "partial contains 5.8S ribosomal RNA, internal transcribed spacer 2, and large subunit ribosomal RNA". The record is from RNAcentral. Lineage: Eukaryota; Fungi; Basidiomycota; Exobasidiomycetes; Exobasidiales; Exobasidiaceae.